Nomascus leucogenys (northern white-cheeked gibbon) is the source of this 3138-nucleotide RNA transcript. It is a transcript of the gene named RAB20, member RAS oncogene family, with no coding region annotated. The transcript is spliced from 11 exons. The record is from RefSeq and is a predicted model, not a curated record. Lineage: Eukaryota; Metazoa; Chordata; Mammalia; Primates; Hylobatidae.
GGCCUGGGGGGCGGGGGCGGGGGCGGGGCGAGGCCGCCGCGGUCCGGACCCCAGACGUGGGCUCCGGGCUCUGCACCCAGCUCCUGCCCGGGCGCGCACACGCGCUUCCUCUCUUGAACUCCCGGGCGUCCGGCGGCUAAGGUCCCGGAGCGUUCACGAGAAUCCGGGUCCCAGCGAGUCCAGGGUCCGCUCCUCCAGCUGCGCCCCGGACGCACGAGCCGGCCAGCCUCGGGGAGAGGGCGCGGGGGCGCUGGGGGUUCUUACGGAAGAUGAGGAAGCCCGACAGCAAGAUCGUGCUGCUGGGGGACAUGAACGUGGGGAAGACGUCGCUGCUGCAGCGGUAUAUGGAGCGGCGCUUCCCGGACACGGUCAGCACGGUGGGCGGCGCCUUCUACCUGAAGCAGUGGCGCUCCUACAACAUCUCCAUCUGGGACACCGCAGGGCGGGAGCAGUUCCACGGCCUGGGCUCCAUGUACUGCCGGGGGGCGGCUGCCAUCAUCCUCACCUAUGAUGUGAAUCACCGGCAGAGCCUGGUGGAGCUGGAGGACCGGUUCCUGGGCCUGACAGACACAGCCAGCAAAGACUGCCUCUUUGCCAUCGUGGGGAACAAAGUGGACCUCACUGAGGAGGGGGCCUUGGCAGGCCAGGAGAAGGAAGAGUGCAGUUCCAAUAUGGACGCCGGGGACUGUGUCUCCCCCAGGGCGCCUAAGCAGGUGCAGCUGGAGGACGCGGUGGCCCUUUAUAAAAAGAUCCUCAAGUACAAGAUGCUGGAUGAGCAGGACGUGCCGGCCGCUGAGCAGAUGUGCUUUGAGACCAGCGCCAAGACCGGCUACAAUGUGGACCUCCUGUUUGAGACCCUGUUUGACCUGGUGGUGCCAAUGAUCUUACAGCAGAGAGCUGAGAGGCCGUCACACACAGUGGAUAUAUCCAGUCAUAAGUCACCCAAGAGGACCAGAUCUGGGUGUUGUGCUUGACUUUUGAGGGCCUCCUGGACUCAGAUUGUGCAUGUGGGAAGGGGUCUGACCAGGCAAGCUGUGAUCUGACAGGAGCAAGGAACACCAAGGAAUUAUUUUCCAGAAUGACACACGCAGCAGAACGCUGGAGUGGAAAUGAUGGCCGGCUAUGAAGAGGAGGUCAACAAACCACGUCAGUUCUUGGAAAGCUUGAAAUCUCUCAGUUUGGCAACUCAGCUGUUGGAGACGGCGCAGAUUUCCCCACUGGGUGUGGGUUUGAGCUCGUGACCUCGAGCAUCCGUCUUUCCUUGUACAAAGCGGCCACUCCAGGGAGGAGAAGAGCAAGUGACGGUCCAGGGUUAAUGGCUGCGUGUGGUCUUGGAGCUCCCUUCUGCACUUUCCAGCUGUCCGUGUCCCCAUGCAGAUGAGAACCCUCUCCUCAAUGACACCUCAUAACCAGAUUUUCCCACCGGGAGAAGGCAUAGGGGCCUGGAACGGUGUCUCUUGGGAGCUGGUCUCAGUUAAGUGAGCAGGGUUGGCUCGUGCCUGCUUUUGGUCUGAAGGUGGCAGGCCUGGGAGUGGCCACUGUCAUCCCCAGUAGCACUUCCAAACCCCCUCCCUCAGCCUCACUGCGUGGCAGCCUCGUUCACCAGCCCCUGUGUGGCGGGCGGCUCCCAUGGCCAGGGGCGAGCUCUCCCUGCUUCGAGGGAGGUGUGAGAGCCCCCUGGACAGAGUCCUCAUAAUCUGAAUGCAAGAAUUCCUUUCCCAGGAAUCCUGCAGAUAAAAUGGAUUAUUUUUGUGAGUGUACAGUUAAGAAUAAUAAGCCAGCUCAAGGCAAAAGAAUGGGUCCCCCCCGGAGGAGAAGCGGGGUCCUGUCCCAUGUGGGAUGAAAUGGCCUCUGCAGGAACGGCUCCACUUUAGGGCUGGUUUAUGCCAUCAUGGCACCCACAUCUUCUAAGCGGCCUCCACCCCAUCUGCCCUUUGUUCUUGUACUUUGGCCAUGAAUGGGAGGAGAAGGUCCCUGAGUCACCCCUGCAUGUGGCAAGGUCCUCUCAAGUGUGAAUCUGCAGGUGGGGUGGGGGAAGAGGGCUCCUGGACGUAUUUUAAACCCAGAAAGACAGCAUUCCCCUCCUGCCCCAUCCCAUGUGGUUUGCAGCUGCAGCCUCUCAUCUCUAAGUGUUCCCGGCCUCUGAGAAGAACCUAGUUAAUUAAAAUGGGCUCGUGCAAUGAAAUUGUGAAAUACCUCUCGGGUGCAGGGACUCUCGCAGUAUGUGGAAAUGACCCCACCGUUUGAGCUUCUGGACAUCGCAGGUCCUGGACACGUAUGAGUGCUUACAUGCCUGCAGCUUUAGGCACAUUCACGUGUAGUGACUGAUUUCAUUCUCCUGAUGUCACUCUGAUGCACAGGUCUAGGGUGAAACAUUUCUCUUAUGUUUAACACUGGACACUGACGCUGAAGUGUGAUCCACACACAAGGUCCCACUCAGGCUUCCUGAUAUCGCCUUCCCACAUAGGCCAGCUGUGUAGAGGUCCUGGCCUCAGCCAGCUUCUGGAGGAACACGAGCCAGGGCAGCUGCUUAUCUAUGUCAAAUAACAUUAUAAGUUUAAAGUUCUACUUUCUGUUGCAUCAACAUGUUUAGCCUUUAUGGAAGUGCAUGGCAGGCCUCCUGGAUCCCAGAGUUGGUGUAUAAGGGCCAUUUGGCUUGGCCGAGCAGGCUUUGAGUGACUACACUGGCAUUUCGGAACAGCUCUGUUCUUCUACGAGUUCUCAGACAUACUGGGCCAAGUUGGAUCAUCAGGGAGUGGCGUCUUCAUGGAAUAGCAUUUUGGACAAAGCCAGAGACAUUCAAUAUCACGGCCAAGGUCAAAUGGUGAAAAUACGUUGCAUGUGAGACGCAGAACAAGAACCCAACAGGUGCUCAUCGCCAUCAUGGCAGGAAACAGCAAGACAACUUGACAAGGAUCUCCCGCCACUUGCCCACUGGAACUGGAAUGGAGUGUUAAUGACACAGGAGUGCAUGAAUUUACAUGUAAUAUACACACAUACAAAUUCGCCUGUAGACAGCAAUAUUUGGUUAUAGGAAAUGUCUAUAAACAGCACAUUCUAAAAGCAGCUUUAGGAUUAUGGGUGCUUUUUUUCCUCUUAAAUGUGUUAAUUUUUUAAAUGUGUUUAAACGUGUUAAUA